This 496-nucleotide ribosomal RNA is filed under the name uncultured bacterium. Its description in RNAcentral is "partial 16S ribosomal RNA". It matches the Rfam family "Bacterial small subunit ribosomal RNA", at positions 28 to 506 of the family's 1533-position model. The record is from RNAcentral.
GAUGAACGCUGGCGGCGUGCCUAAUACAUGCAAGUCGAGCGAACGGACGAGAAGCUUGCUUCUCUGAUGUUAGCGGCGGACGGGUGAGUAACACGUGGAUAACCUACCUAUAAGACUGGGAUAACUUCGGGAAACCGGAGCUAAUACCGGAUAAUAUUUUGAACCGCAUGGUUCAAAAGUGAAAGACGGUCUUGCUGUCACUUAUAGAUGGAUCCGCGCUGCAUUAGCUAGUUGGUAAGGUAACGGCUUACCAAGGCAACGAUGCAUAGCCGACCUGAGAGGGUGAUCGGCCACACUGGAACUGAGACACGGUCCAGACUCCUACGGGAGGCAGCAGUAGGGAAUCUUCCGCAAUGGGCGAAAGCCUGACGGAGCAACGCCGCGUGAGUGAUGAAGGUCUUCGGAUCGUAAAACUCUGUUAUUAGGGAAGAACAUAUGUGUAAGUAACUGUGCACACCUUGACGGUACCUAAGCAGAAAGCCACGGCUAACUACGU